CCUACGGGAGGCAGCAGUGAGGAAUAUUGGUCAAUGGCCGAGAGGCUGAACCAGCCAAGUCGCAUGAGGGAAGACGGCCCUACGGGUUGUAAACUUCUUUUGUCGGGGAGCAAAGAGAGUCACGUGUGACUCUUUGAGAGUACCCGAAGAAUAAGCAUCGGCUAACUCCGUGCCAGCAGCCGCGGUAAUACGGAGGCUGCGAGCGUUAUCCGGAUUUAUUGGGUUUAAAGGGUGGGCAGGCGGAGGUGCAAGUCAGCGGUAAAAUUGCGGGGCUCAACGCCGUACUGCCGUUGAAACUGCAUGCCUUGAGUGCGGGAGAAGUAUGCGGAAUGCGUGGUGUAGCGGUGAAAUGCAUAGAUAUCACGCAGAACUCCGAUUGCGAAGGCAGCAUACCGGCGCGCAACUGACGCUGAUGCACGAAAGCGUGGGUAUCGAACAGGAUUAGAUACCCCAGUAGUC
RNAcentral lists this ribosomal RNA (459 nucleotides) under uncultured bacterium. Its description in RNAcentral is "partial 16S ribosomal RNA". It matches the Rfam family "Bacterial small subunit ribosomal RNA", at positions 338 to 795 of the family's 1533-position model. The record is from RNAcentral.